UGGCAAUAUCUCAUUGAAACACUAGUUCCUGUACAAUCACUGAAGUUAAACAAUGUCAAGCUCGGUUAGUACUUAGAUGGAUAACCGCUUGGAAAUACCAGGUACUGUAAG
This is a non-coding RNA of Acanthosepion pharaonis, 111 nucleotides long. NCBI's taxonomy places the organism in Eukaryota, Metazoa, Mollusca, Cephalopoda, Sepiida, Sepiidae. The record is from the annotation of a GenBank genome assembly.